RNAcentral lists this ribosomal RNA (1018 nucleotides) under Proteus mirabilis. RNAcentral describes it as "bacterial SSU rRNA". The stretch from base 1 to 722 matches the Rfam family "Bacterial small subunit ribosomal RNA", at positions 797 to 1533 of the family's 1533-position model. The record is from RNAcentral. Lineage: Bacteria; Pseudomonadati; Pseudomonadota; Gammaproteobacteria; Enterobacterales; Morganellaceae.
CGGCCGUAGAAGUCGAUUUUAGAGGUUGUGGUCUUGAACCGUGGCUUCUGGAGCUAACGCGUUAAAUCGACCGCCUGGGGAGUACGGCCGCAAGGUUAAAACUCAAAUGAAUUGACGGGGGCCCGCACAAGCGGUGGAGCAUGUGGUUUAAUUCGAUGCAACGCGAAGAACCUUACCUACUCUUGACAUCCAGCGAAUCCUUUAGAGAUAGAGGAGUGCCUUCGGGAACGCUGAGACAGGUGCUGCAUGGCUGUCGUCAGCUCGUGUUGUGAAAUGUUGGGUUAAGUCCCGCAACGAGCGCAACCCUUAUCCUUUGUUGCCAGCACGUAAUGGUGGGAACUCAAAGGAGACUGCCGGUGAUAAACCGGAGGAAGGUGGGGAUGACGUCAAGUCAUCAUGGCCCUUACGAGUAGGGCUACACACGUGCUACAAUGGCAGAUACAAAGAGAAGCGACCUCGCGAGAGCAAGCGGAACUCAUAAAGUCUGUCGUAGUCCGGAUUGGAGUCUGCAACUCGACUCCAUGAAGUCGGAAUCGCUAGUAAUCGUAGAUCAGAAUGCUACGGUGAAUACGUUCCCGGGCCUUGUACACACCGCCCGUCACACCAUGGGAGUGGGUUGCAAAAGAAGUAGGUAGCUUAACCUUCGGGAGGGCGCUUACCACUUUGUGAUUCAUGACUGGGGUGAAGUCGUACAGGGAAACCCCGAAAAAAAGACCUCCUCCCUCUCUUUUCCUUAUCCAACUUUUGGCUCCCGGUCCCCGGGCCCCCCUCCCCCGCCCCCGGUGUUCCCCCCCACACCUCGCCCGCUCCCCCCGUCCCCCCCAAGCAAAUCCACCCCCCGCCUUCACCACACCUCUCCCCCCCCUUUUUGUCACGUCCUCACCCCUCCUAUUACUCUCGGGCGUUCUUAAAUAAAAAAUAACAUAAAUGGUCCCCCGACGCUCCUUUAUUUGCCCCGAAUACUUCCUCCAUAACCCCCCUCCCCCCCCCCCCUAUUUACUCGGCCCCCCGCCCGGCC